Molecule: ribosomal RNA, 253 nt
Filed under: uncultured bacterium
Lineage: Bacteria
Description: partial 16S ribosomal RNA
Rfam family: Bacterial small subunit ribosomal RNA
Source: RNAcentral
UACGAAGGGGGCUAGCGUUGCUCGGAAUCACUGGGCGUAAAUGGUGCGUAGGCGGUUCUUUAAGGCAGGGGGGAAAUCCUGGAGCUCAACUCCAGAACUGCCUUUGAUACUGAAGAUCUUGAGUUCGGGAGAGGUGAGUGGAACUGCGAGUGUAGAGGUGAAAUUCGUAGAUAUUCGCAAGAACACCAGUGGCGAAGGCGGCUCACUGGCUCGGUACUGACGCUGAGGUGCGAAAGCGUGGGUAGCAAACAGG